GGUUUCGAACCUAUACCCACAUAGAUGGAGGUAAAAGAGCUCAACCAACUAGGUCAUACCUCACUGACUUCAUUAAUUUGAUCAUAUGGUCUUCUGUUAAAUUAAUGAUGUGGGGUAGAAGAGGUCCCCACUUCUAUGUUGAUGUGGAAACAAUAAAAAAUAUAUAAAAUAUACAACAUAAAACAUUGCCCAAUAUGAGAAUAAUAUUUUUAAAACAAAAAAGAUUAAAGAAAUUCCCCAAUCCCGCUAACCCAGGGCUCCCUCCACUCUCUCUCUCUCUCUCUCUCUCUCUCCCCAACACAAAUUUUACCAAACUAACCUGCAGCGAAGGACGGAUCUACACCCACUCCAACCUAGUCCUAAUUUACUAAAUAAGCUUAAAGGUGCAGGCUAACUUAGGAAUUUUAGAAACCAGUCUACCCUUCUAUACAUAAGUCAGCCUAUCACUCUAUAUAAAAAGAAGGCUACCCACUUAGCCAUCUUUAACCCCACACACAAGGAGUGGAUAAGGAAUCCACUAAACCCAAAAAAACCAACGAAAAUAAUAGAACAAAAGCCUCCAACCAUCUGACCAAAAAAAAAAAAAGGCCUCCAACUUGGACGCAAGACAAGCCAAACAAAAAAAAUACCUAAAAACCUAAAAGCAUGAGAGAAUUAAAGGAGAAGUGACUCUCUUCCUCUCCAAAAUUGUAUCAACAUAUCUUUAGUGGGUUCUUCAAUCUUAGUAAGUUUCUCUUUUUAUUUUUAUUUUAUUUUCAAUUUAAAUUGUUAUUGUUAAGUUUUUAUGAUUUAGGGUUUGUUUAUUAAAUUUUGAGUAGCGCUACGGGUGUGAUAAGAAAUUGUUUUUGAAAAAUUAUAAGUUGUGCUACACAAGUGAUGGGAGAAAGUUCUCCUGCAAGCGAGUGAUGGGAAAAAAUCCAGCACUCGUGGCAGGGAUUCCAGUUGCUUUAAAAAAAAAAUUUGUCCACCCCCAGUAAAAUUCUUGGAUCCGUCCUUGCCUGCAGCCCUCCCUCCCUGACCAACCCCCACAAACACCUCUCCCAACCUCCCCACGCGAAUCCAGGCCUUCCCCAACCCGUUAUCUCCAUUUAGCUAUUACUUUCUCUAUCUUGAGCUUAUAGCAUCAAAUAGGAAUAAAUAAUCAAUAAAUGAAACUCUAGAAUCAAUUUGCACCCCAAUAUAAUAAAAAUACUGCUUAUGCUUUCAUGAAUUGGUAAGGAAGAAGGAAAGCCACGCAUCUUUUAAUACAUUGAACAAAUAAAAUAAAUAAAAUAUAUUAACUUAUUGGAUAAAUAAAAAAUUUAUUUAUUUAUAAAAUAAAUAAAUAAAUUCAUAAUUAAAAUUUCCAUACAUAAAUAAAUAAAAAUUAAGUUUAUUGUAAUC
This 1383-nucleotide long non-coding RNA is filed under the name Prunus persica (peach). RNAcentral describes it as "long non-coding RNA (PPER_LNC004853)". Lineage: Eukaryota; Viridiplantae; Streptophyta; Magnoliopsida; Rosales; Rosaceae. The record is from RNAcentral.